This 215-nucleotide long non-coding RNA is filed under the name Elaeis guineensis (African oil palm). RNAcentral describes it as "long non-coding RNA (EGUI_LNC016637)". The record is from RNAcentral. Lineage: Eukaryota; Viridiplantae; Streptophyta; Magnoliopsida; Arecales; Arecaceae.
CUCCUCCCAAUAAUAACUGGUAAGUGUUAGCUGCCUACUAAUUAGUCUCCAUGAAUGUGAGGUAUAUCUUUAGUCAACUAAAGCGGAACAUAUUCAACUAGCAUAAGAGACUUGAGUCAAUAUUAUGAUCUGCCCCGUUAUAAUUUAACUUAGAUAUGAAAUGGUAAUGAUUGAAGUAAAUCUUAAUGAAUGAUGAAUUGCAAGAGUCAAGUGCG